Oncorhynchus masou masou (cherry salmon) is the source of this 2875-nucleotide long non-coding RNA. RefSeq lists it as uncharacterized. The transcript has 3 exons. The record is from RefSeq and is a predicted model, not a curated record. Lineage: Eukaryota; Metazoa; Chordata; Actinopteri; Salmoniformes; Salmonidae.
GGAUACUGUAAUAAUGUGAGGGGUGCUUUAUGGAAACAGGUGCUGUCCAGUUAUUGAAAACAUGAUCUAGCCGAAAGGGUCGCCAAGGGAGGAAAGAAGACAUACGUCGAGUGCUGACACCCCAUGAUGGCCAGAAGGGAUGGGUGCAUUCCAGAAUGUUAUUAAGGGGAGAGAUGGGCCUGCUGUUCUCUACUUAACAGGCAUCUAUCUGUACAAGGGCUGGAUGCCUUGGGAGGCCAAUGGAGAUUCAGACACAGCCCUGACCAUAACUUCCCCUGGAAACUGGUUUCAGACGGUGUUUUAGAGUAUCAAUAACAUAUCUAGCACCAUUUGAAAUCAGUGUUCUUGGUGUAAGGAGGACACCAUUUAAAGCAGGAUGGAUGAAUGCAUACAGUAGGCCUACGGCAGUCUCAUCAUUUUGCACACAUUUGGCUAGGUGGUACUGGUGGGAGUUAACAUUAUUUGUUGACGGGAUCGCAUGACAAUAAAAACAUUCUAUUCCGUGUCCAAUUAUGUAAAUGUCACACUGGAAUAUGUUAGUCUUGGAAUCGCAGCGCCAGCACAACACACCUCCCCAGUGACUGACAGCAAUCCCAGGAUCACACCUCACCUCCUCACAUCAUGACCCCUCUUGCCAAGGCUGACUGUUUUCUUUUGGUGUUUAGAGUCUCUUCUAUUUCUAGCACCAUUUGAAAUCGGUUACAGUGUAGGGGGAAUAUCAUCUGAACAGAAGAUGAGAAACACCCUUGGUUCCUCCACACAAGUUCUCUUUGAUCAAGUCACAUCCUUUUUUUUCCAAAUCUCAAGUAACCUGAGCUAGCUUGUUAUAGGUAGUCAGAUGUGAUCAAACACACAUUCUGGGUGCAGAGCCGAAAGAAGUUGGUAUAAAAGAAAUAGAGCUCGCACACUCAUACUGUAGGCUCCACCAUGUACCUUUAUUAAUUAAUUAACCUCCUCCCAGCUGCCCACUGCACUGAAGAUAGGAAACACUGUCACCACUGAUAAAUCCACUAUAAUUGAGAAUUUCAAUAAGCAUUUUUCUACAGCUGGCCAUGCUUUCCACCUGGCUACCCCUACCCCGGUCAACAGCACUGCACCCCCCACAGCAACUCGCCCAAGCCUUCCCCAUUUCUCCUUCUCCCAAAUCCAGUCAGCUGAUGUUCUGAAAGAGCUGCAAAAUCUGGACCCCUACAAAUCAGCCGGGCUAGACAAUCUGGACCCUUUCUUUCUAAAAUUAUCUGCCAAAACUGUUGCCACCCCUAUUACUAGCCUGUUCAACCUCUCGUGUCGUCUGAGAUUCCCAAAGAUUGGAAAGCAGCUGCGGUCAUCCCCCUCUUCAAAAGGGGGGGGGGCACUCUUGACCCAAACUGCUACAGACCUAUAUCUAUCCUACCCUGCCUUUCUAAGGUCCUCGAAAGCCAAGUCAACAAAUAGAUUACCAACCAUUUCGAAUCUCACCAUACCCUCUCUGCUAUGCAAUCUGGUUUCAGAGUUGGUCAUGGGUGCACUUCAGCCAUGCUCAAGGUCCUAAACGAUAUCUUAACUGCCAUCGAUAAGAAACAUUACUGUGCAGCCGUAUUCAUUGAUCUGGCCAAGGCUUUCGACUCUGUCAAUCACUACAUCCUCAUUGGCAGACUCGACCGCCUUGGUUUCUCAAAUGAUUGCCUCGCCUGGUUCACCAACUACUUCUCUGAUAGAGUUUAGUGUGUCAAAUCGGAUGGUCUGCUGUCCGGACCUCUGGCAGUCUCUAUGGGGGUGCCACAGGGUUCAAUUCUUGGACCGACUCUCUUCUCUGUAUACAUCAAUGAUGUCGAUCUUGCUGCUGGUGAGUCUCUGAUCCACCUCUACGCAGACGAGACCAUUCUGUAUACUUCUGGCCCUUCUUUGGACACUGUUAACAACACUCCAGGCAAGCUUCAAUGCCAUUCAACUCUCCUUCCGUGGCCUCCAAUUGCUCUUAAAUAUAAGUAAAACUAAAUGCAUGCUCUUCAACCGAUCGCUGCCUGCAUCUGCCCACCUGUCCAACAUCACUACUCUGGGCGGCUCUGGACGACUUAGAAUACGUGGACAACUACAAAUACCUAGGUGUCUGAUUAGACUGUAAACUCUCCAUCAAGACUCACAUCAAACAUCUCCAAUCCAAAGUUAAAUCUAGAAUUGGCUUCCUAUUUCGCAACAAAGCAUCCUUCACUCAUGCUGCCAAACAUACCCUUGUAAAACUGAUCAUUCUACCAAUUUUCGACUUUGGCGAUGUCAUUUACAAAAUAGCCUCCGAUACCCUACUCAACAAAUUGGAUGCAGUCUACCACAGUGCCAUCCGUUUUGUCACCAAAGCCCCAUAUACUACCCACCAUUGCGACCUGUACGCUCUCGUUGGCUGACCCUCGCUUCAUACUCGUCUCCGAACCCACUGGCUCCAUGUCAUCUACAAGACCCUGCUAGGUAAUAAUUUAGCCCAAACAUCUACCUCUUUCCAUACUGUAUUAAUUUAUUUUGCUCCUUUGCACCCCAUUAUUUUUAUUUCUACUUUGCACAUUCAUCCACUGCAAAUCUACCAUUCUAGUGUUUUACUUGCUAUAUUGUAUUUACUUUGCCUCCAUGGCCUUUUUUUGCCUUUACCUCCCUUAUCUCACCUCAUUUGCUCACAUCGUAUAUAGACUUGUUUCUACUGUAUUAUUGACUGUAUGUUUGUUUUACUCCAUGUGUAACUCUGUGUUGUUAUAUGUGUCGAACUGCUGUACUUUAUCUUGGCCAAGUCGCAAUUGUAAAUGAGAACUUGUUCUCAACUUGUCCACCUGGUUAAAUAAAGGUGAAAUUUUUAAUUAAUAAACAAACAACGUUUAGAUCCUGCAAGGAUCUUUGUCAGGUAAUUUCA